This 279-nucleotide unclassified non-coding RNA is filed under the name plant metagenome. Its description in RNAcentral is "partial contains small subunit ribosomal RNA, internal transcribed spacer 1, and 5.8S ribosomal RNA". The record is from RNAcentral.
UUUCCGUAGGUGAACCUGCGGAAGGAUCAUUAUUGUACAACCGAGGUGCGAGGUAUCUCGCUCAACCGAAUGGUCGCGCACGCCCGAGUGCCUUCAUACACAACCAUGUCAACCCUAUGUGCAACAUCGCACAGGACAAACCUUGGCAUAUUGGGAGGGUGGCUUCCGUCUUCACUGAAACUCGGAAUGGAGUGGAGAAUGUAAUUUUUGAUUUUGCGUUGCCGCGAUCAAUACAACUUUCCACAAUGGAUCUCUUGGCUAUCGCAUCGAUGAAGAACC